UUCCGGUUGAUCCUGCCGGACCCCACUGCUAUCGAGAUGGGACUAAGGUAUGCUAGUCGAACGACCAGAACUAUGUCUGGAAGUGGCACACUGCUCAGUAACACGUAGCUAACCUACCCUUAGGACGUGGAUACCCCCGAGAAAUUGGGGUUAAUCCGCGAUAGGUGUAAUGUCCUGGAAUGGUAUUACGCCUAAAGGUGUAUCAUACAUGUUUGAUAUACGCCUAAGGAUGGGGCUGCGGCCGAUCAGGCUGUUGGUGAGGUAAUGGCUCACCAAACCUUUGACCGGUACGGGCCAUGAGAGUGGUAGCCCGGAGAUGGACACUGAGACAAGGGUCCAGGCCCUAAGGGGCGCAGCAACCGCGAAACCUCCACAAUGCACUCACGUGCGAUGGGGCUAUCUCGAGUGCCACCUGAUGAAGGUGGCUUUUCCUAGGUCUUCAAAGCCUUGGGAAUAAGAGGGGGGCAAGACUGGUGUCAGCCGCCGCGGUAACACCAGCCCCUCGAGUGGUGGGGAUGAUUAUUUGGCCUAAAGCGUCCGUAGCCGGCCGAGCAAGUCUUCCGUUAAAUCCAGCGUCUCAAGCGUUGGACUGCGGGAGAUACUACAUGGCUAGAGAGUGGGAGAGGUCAGCGGUAUUCUGGGGGUAGGGGCGAAAUCCUUUGAUCCCCGGAGGACCACCAGUGGCGAAGGCUGCUGACUAGAACACGUCUGACGGUCAGGGACGAAAGCUGGGGUAGCGAACCGGAUUAGAUACCCGGGUAGUCCCAGCCGUAAACGAUGCAUGCUA
RNAcentral lists this ribosomal RNA (787 nucleotides) under uncultured archaeon. RNAcentral describes it as "bacterial SSU rRNA". It matches the Rfam family "Archaeal small subunit ribosomal RNA", at positions 1 to 769 of the family's 1478-position model. The record is from RNAcentral.